UACGGAGGGGGCUAGCGUUGUUCGGAAUUACUGGGCGUAAAGCGCACGUAGGCGGCUUUGUAAGUUAGAGGUGAAAAGCCCAGGGCUCAACCCUGGAAUUGCCUUUAAGACUGCAUCGCUUGAACAUCGGAGAGGUAAGUGGAAUUCCGAGUGUAGAGGUGAAAUUCGUAGAUAUUCGGAAGAACACCAGUGGCGAAGGCGACUUACUGGACGAUUGUUGACGCUGAGGUGCGAAAGCGUGGGGAGCAAACAGG
Molecule: ribosomal RNA, 254 nt
Filed under: uncultured bacterium
Lineage: Bacteria
Description: partial 16S ribosomal RNA
Rfam family: Bacterial small subunit ribosomal RNA
Source: RNAcentral